This 256-nucleotide unclassified non-coding RNA is filed under the name Mycobacterium simiae. RNAcentral describes it as "partial contains 16S ribosomal RNA and 16S-23S ribosomal RNA intergenic spacer". The stretch from base 1 to 134 matches the Rfam family "Bacterial small subunit ribosomal RNA", at positions 1400 to 1533 of the family's 1533-position model. Lineage: Bacteria; Bacillati; Actinomycetota; Actinomycetes; Mycobacteriales; Mycobacteriaceae. The record is from RNAcentral.
CGUCAUGAAAGUCGGUAACACCCGAAGCCAGUGGCCUAACCUUUUGGAGGGAGCUGUCGAAGGUGGGAUCGGCGAUUGGGACGAAGUCGUAACAAGGUAGCCGUACCGGAAGGUGCGGCUGGAUCACCUCCUUUCUAAGGAGCACCACGAGAAACACUCCAAUUGGUGGGGUGUGAGCCGUGAGGGGUUCUCGUCUGUAGUGGACGAGGGCCGGGUGCACAACAACAGGCAAUCGCCAGACACACUAUUGGGCCCU